AUGUCAUCGCUGGUGAAGGAAGACUUGGAGAAAAAACUGUUUAAGCCGCUGGCGCAGAAUCUCUGCGAGUUUAUUGAGAUCGAGGUCUCUGUCCAGGACAGGUAUUUCCUCUGUGUGUCAGUGACCAAAACUGAUGAAGUAAAAAUCACCAUGGUGAAGCACUACAGAGUAGGGCUGGAUGAGAAGUAUGAAGUAACAAAAAGGUGGUCCUUGAGUGAUCUGCGGAUGAUUGACGGAAAAGAAGCAGAUACCGACAAUCCAUUUUUUGAUCUGCACUUCAAGAAAGUCUACAGCUUGGAGGCCUACAGCUGUGCCUCUAAGUACUCCUUUGCUCGGACAGUGAGCAGGCUGAACCACGUGUAUCUUAAGAAGGAUUUACACAUGGUCAACUUUGAUUCUACUUACAUUAACGAUGACUCCAUUUGGUCCUCCAACAACAAGGACUGCCUGGUCCUCAUGAGAAUAUGCUUUUACGCUUUCAAUCUUGUGUGCUUGUCCUUGUGUCCCCUGCCACUUUGA
Molecule: long non-coding RNA, 519 nt
Filed under: Mus caroli (Ryukyu mouse)
Lineage: Eukaryota; Metazoa; Chordata; Mammalia; Rodentia; Muridae
Description: lncRNA (MGP_CAROLIEiJ_G0006071.1)
Source: RNAcentral